GAAAUCCUGGAGCUCAACUCCAGAACUGCCUUCGAUACUGGCGAUCUUGAGUCCGAGAGAGGUGAGUGGAACUCCUAGUGUAGAGGUGAAAUUCGUAGAUAUUGGGAAGAACACCGGUGGCGAAGGCGACUUACUGGUCCGAUACUGACGCUGAGGUACGAAAGCGUGGGGAGCAAACAGG
This 181-nucleotide ribosomal RNA is filed under the name uncultured bacterium. Its description in RNAcentral is "partial 16S ribosomal RNA". It matches the Rfam family "Bacterial small subunit ribosomal RNA", at positions 596 to 776 of the family's 1533-position model. The record is from RNAcentral.